AACGAACGCUGGCGGCAUGCCUAACACAUGCAAGUCGAACGAGACCUUCGGGUCUAGUGGCGCACGGGUGCGUAACGCGUGGGAAUCUGCCCUUGGGUUCGGAAUCACAGUUGGAAACGACUGCUAAUACCGGAUGAUGACGUAAGUCCAAAGAUUUAUCGCCCAAGGAUGAGCCCGCGUAGGAUUAGCUAGUUGGUGAGGUAAAGGCUCACCAAGGCGACGAUCCUUAGCUGGUCUGAGAGGAUGAUCAGCCACACUGGGACUGAGACACGGCCCAGACUCCUACGGGAGGCAGCAGUGGGGAAUAUUGGACAAUGGGCGAAAGCCUGAUCCAGCAAUGCCGCGUGAGUGAUGAAGGCCUUAGGGUUGUAAAGCUCUUUUACCCGGGAUGAUAAUGACAGUACCGGGAGAAUAAGCUCCGGCUAACUCCGUG
This 433-nucleotide ribosomal RNA is filed under the name uncultured bacterium. RNAcentral's name for it is "partial 16S ribosomal RNA". It matches the Rfam family "Bacterial small subunit ribosomal RNA", at positions 29 to 507 of the family's 1533-position model. The record is from RNAcentral.